RNAcentral lists this ribosomal RNA (410 nucleotides) under uncultured bacterium. RNAcentral's name for it is "bacterial SSU rRNA". It matches the Rfam family "Bacterial small subunit ribosomal RNA", at positions 355 to 765 of the family's 1533-position model. The record is from RNAcentral.
UAAGGAAUAUUGCUCAAUGGGAGAAAUCCUGAAGCAGCAACGCCGCGUGGAGGAUGAAGGGUCUAUGACUUGUAAACUCCUGUAAAGAAGGAAAAAUUCCCAUUUGAUGGGAGAUGAUGGUACUUCUGGAGUAAGCCCCGGCUAACUACGUGCCAGCAGCCGCGGUAAUACGUAGGGGGCAAGCGGUGUCCGGCUUUACUGGGUGUAAAGGGUGCUCAGGCGGAUUUGUAAGUCAGAGGUGAAAUCUUACAGCUUAACUGUGAAACUGCCUUUGAUACUGCAAGCCUAGAGUAUGGAAGAGAGUGAUAGAAUAUCUGGUGUAGCAGUGAAAUGCGUAGAUAUCAGAUAGAACACCAAUGGCGAAGGCAGUCACUUGGUCCAUUACUGACGCUAAAGCACGAAAGCGUGGG